RNAcentral lists this non-coding RNA (27 nucleotides) under Mus musculus (house mouse). The record is from RNAcentral. Lineage: Eukaryota; Metazoa; Chordata; Mammalia; Rodentia; Muridae.
UGCAGCUCUGGACGCUUGUCAGUCUUG